CCAUGCCCUCUUUGGGCGUUUCCUCCCAAGACUUGGCCGCCCGGCUUACCCCUGGCGGCCUUUUUCUUUUU
RNAcentral lists this small RNA (71 nucleotides) under zebrafish metagenome. Its description in RNAcentral is "Makes More Granules Regulator RNA (mmgR)". It matches the Rfam family "Makes More Granules Regulator RNA (mmgR)", at positions 6 to 73 of the family's 77-position model. Rfam says of the family: SuhB later renamed mmgR (makes more granules regulator) was a putative non-coding RNA found multiple times in the Agrobacterium tumefaciens genome and related alpha-proteobacteria. Other non-coding RNAs uncovered in the same analysis include: speF, ybhL, metA, and serC. Several studies inSinorhizobium meliloti showed that suhB element is indeed a non-coding RNA:firstly it was detected on Northern blot and called Sm8RNA, secondly in an RNAseq study referred to as SmelC689. The record is from RNAcentral.